CCUACGGGUGGCUGCAGUGGGGAAUAUUGGACAAUGGGCGAAAGCCUGAUCCAGCCAUGCCGCGUGUGUGAAGAAGGCCUUCGGGUUGUAAAGCACUUUCAGUGGGGAAGAAAGCCUUGGGGCUAAUACCCUCGAGGAAGGACAUCACCCACAGAAGAAGCACCGGCUAACUCCGUGCCAGCAGCCGCGGUAAUACGGAGGGUGCGAGCGUUAAUCGGAAUUACUGGGCGUAAAGCGCGCGUAGGCGGUCUGAUAAGCCGGUUGUGAAAGCCCCGGGCUCAACCUGGGAACGGCAUCCGGAACCGUCAGGCUAGAGUGCAGGAGAGGAAGGUAGAAUUCCCGGUGUAGCGGUGAAAUGCGUAGAGAUCGGGAGGAAUACCAGUGGCGAAGGCGGCCUUCUGGACUGACACUGACGCUGAGGUGCGAAAGCGUGGGUAGCAAACAGGAUUAGAUACCCUUGUAGUC
Molecule: ribosomal RNA, 465 nt
Filed under: Vreelandella stevensii
Lineage: Bacteria; Pseudomonadati; Pseudomonadota; Gammaproteobacteria; Oceanospirillales; Halomonadaceae
Description: partial 16S ribosomal RNA
Rfam family: Bacterial small subunit ribosomal RNA
Source: RNAcentral